Molecule: ribosomal RNA, 251 nt
Filed under: uncultured prokaryote
Description: partial 16S rRNA
Rfam family: Bacterial small subunit ribosomal RNA
Source: RNAcentral
ACGGAGGGAGCUAGCGUUGUUCGGAAUUACUGGGCGUAAAGCGCGCGUAGGCGGCGACACAAGUCAGAGGUGAAAGCCCGGGGCUCAACCCCGGAACUGCCUUUGAAACUAGGUUGCUAGAAUAUGGUAGAGGUAGCUGGAAUUCCGAGUGUAGAGGUGAAAUGCGUAGAUAUGCGGAAGAACACCAGUGGCGAAGGCAGCUUACUGGACAAGUAUUGACGCUGAGGUGCGAAAGCGUGGGGAGCAAACAG